Molecule: RNA transcript, 2867 nt
Organism: Brassica napus (rape)
Lineage: Eukaryota; Viridiplantae; Streptophyta; Magnoliopsida; Brassicales; Brassicaceae
Exons: 7
Source: RefSeq, a predicted model, not a curated record
UUUGUUAUUGCGGGAAAAUAAAAUUUUUUAGCCACGUUAAUUUGCUAAGUGUAGACGCAAUAACAUUGCAGAUCAAAAAUUAAAUGCUAUCGUAAAUGUAAAUAUCUUUAAUUUUAAUUAAAAUAUUUUAAGUUUACACAAAAUAGUUUAGUUUUUAUUUGUUUCUUUUUUUCUUUCUUCUCCACAGGAAGAAACCAGAGAAGUCUUCAGAUUCAAUCAGCUUGGCUUCCUCAAAUUCUCAGAUUUGAUCUCUUGCCACCGUCGAUUGAAGCUUCACCACCACACUCCUUUUGACACCAUUGCUCUUUACCACCACCACCACCAGCUCGUCACCACCAUCGCCAUCUCUCUCUGAUUAGGGUUCAGAUUAGGGUUCCCAAGGUCGCUCCUGCUCCUCACACGGUUUCUGGGUUAGAGAUGGCGGCAUUGAUGAAGCGGCGGAGGAGGCUUCGGCGCAGAAGAAACGUGUUUCUCUUCACAGACAAGCCGCCGUUACGGUUGAGGCUGCUAAGGAUUACGCUCGGAGGUUUGAAUCUGGUGUCAAUGAGCUUUCCUCUCUAUCUAACGAUCAGGUUGGUGAGGAGUUGGCUCAGUCCGGCGUGAAUGUAAUGUGCAAAAUGUGCUUUUCGGGAGAAAGCCAAGGAAGUGAGAGAGCAAGGAGGAUGCUUUCUUGUAAAAUCUGUGGCAAGAAGUACAAUAAGAAUUGUGUAAAUCUUGGGCUCAACAUAUAGGUGCUUUCAUUUGAUUCGUUGCAGAUUUGUUUCAUUGGAGUUCAUGGAGUUGUCACUCGUGCCGUGUUUGUGAGAUUCCAAAUGGAUUGCUGCAAGAUUGCAAGAGUCUGCAAAAUCUUUCUCUGCAUAACAAUCCCAUUUCAAUGGAUGAGUUUCGGCUGAUGGAAGGGCUGGACCUUGAAGACUGUCCUGAAAAAGAGCCUCUUGGUCAUGGGUUCUAUGCAGACUUUACUAUGGCAACAAGGAUAACAAUACCAGAUUUCAUCACCGAGACUAUCGGUUAUAUUUUGCAAUGAGUUCAUGUGUUUCAUGUAUUUGAUUUUGUGUGUGUUUGAAUCAUUUUGGAAUCUAAAUUUUUUUUAACCCCUAAUCCCUAAAUAUAUUUUAACCCAUAAACCCUAAAUAUAAUCCUAAAAUCUAAAUUUUAAACUUUUAAACUUUAUAUAAAAAUACAAUUCAAUAUAAAUAUACUAAUUCAAACCGGACCCAUCUAGUACUCUAAAUCUAAUACCCUAAACCCUAAAAUUCAAACUUAAAUGAUAUUCUAAAUACUAAAUAAAAUCUCUAAAUAAUUUUUUUCAGAUUUUAAAUCCAAAAUUUAAACUUAAACUUUUAAUCUAAUUUUUUUAAAACUCCAUUCAAAAUAUUAAAUGUAAACCUUAAAUCUCCAUCAAAUUCUAUACCCUAAAUCCUAAAUCCUAACUUCAAACAUAAACAUAUACCACUAAAUAUAAACUUCCAAUAUAAAUUUUAAAAAUUUAACAAACUUCAAAUUUAAAUCUUAAUCACAAACUUUUAUAUACAACUCUAACUCUUACACUUUCAAAACUUUCAAUCCCUAAAUCAUAAUGAAUUGAUCUUUAAUCUACACUUUAUAUCUAAUACCCUAUACCCCAAACUUAAACUCUACAUACAAAAUCAUAAAUCCAAUCUUUACAAACUUAUAAUAGAAAUUUUAAAUUGAACUCUAAAUAUAUUCUAAAAUUCAAAUCAUAUACUUAAUCCUAAAUCUUCACCCUAAUUUCUAAACCACAUAUCUCAUUUUAACAUAUAUCAUAAAACAUCAAAUCUUCAUUUUUAAUAAAUUAUAAUUCUGUAAAUAAAUUAAAAUUUAAAAUACAAAAUUUAGAAUUCAAGUUUUCAAUUAUGAUAUCAAAGUAUUUAAAGCUUAAAUCAUUUGUAUAAUAGCUAUAAAUAAAUAAGAAGACAAUUUGUAUUGUUUUUUUAACCAUUGAUUGAUUUGAAUCAAAGGCUCAAAAUCACUCUUGUAUCUAUCCCCGCACUUUCUUCCUAUUGGUUUACUUGUUUAUGACAUGGAUCACCAUCUGCACCCUUGGAUGAUAUUGAAUCAACGCUUGAGAUUAAUUAUUCUUCUUUUCUUUGUUUGUUAAUUAUCUUUUCUGAUCUACGAGAGAAGAGAGAGAGAGAGAGAGAUGGAGUUCGUAGAUGAUAAAGGAGAAGUCGCCACGGCCGGUCGUCACCACCACCACCACCAUCGCUCGUUACCACCACCACCAUCGCCAUCUCUCCCAUCCCCAAUCGCUCGUUACCAUCACCACCAUCAUCAUCUCUCCCAUCCCCAAUCGCUCUUCACCACCACCAUCGCUUCUCAGAUCCGUCUUCACCACCGUCACGCUCGUCAUAACCACCACUGUUCACUUCUCUGUCUCUCACUCUAUGUCUCUGGUGGAGCAUACAGGACCAAGAGGGAUGACUCUGCCAAAACUAUGUCCUAGCGUUUGCAAGGUGGUGGUCGUGACUCAUGAGCAAGAGCUGAUGUUGUGCAGAGGAGAUGUCUCGAACUCGUCUCCCUCUAGACUCACACGAAUGUUGCAGUCUCUCACUGGAAUUGCCAAGUGCAGCCUUUGAAGGAUUAUACAGAUAAAACAUUGCUCUACGGCAGACUUGAAGACAAUCAUGCUUAAAUACUGGGGAAGCUUGAGAAGGUGGAAGAGACAGAUGAACCUCAAGGAAGGUUGAAGUGAAACAACGAGCUUGAGGAAGGCGGCGGCUUAGGUUUAGUUUUUAGGUUAAUGUGUUUUAAUUAGUUUUUGUUUAAUAUGUACUUGUUUAGUUUUGUAAAAUUGAUUGUAUUUGUAAACUGAUUUUAAUUAAUAAAUAAAAUUUCAUUUUUAA